UUUCAUCUCCUUUUUUAAAACUAGGUUAUUAACUUCUCUUCACCAAAUAGGUCCAGGUUUGUAUAUUGUUUUCUUUCAGGGAAACAAUGGUCAUCCCUUUACCUAUUACCAUAAUUGCAAUCAAUUAAUGAUUUCUUUCUGUCAUUACUUCUGUUAGACUGUAAGCUACUUGAGGAGAGAGUUGGUAACUCAUAUCCCCCAAGCCGCAUUGAGCACCUGCAUUAUAGUGGGAACUCAAUGAAUGUUUGUUGAAUGAACGAAAAUAGACACAAAACAGCACAUUCAUUCUGAACAGUCAGGCUAUGGGAAGAGUCACAUUUGUGUAGGGAGUGUACAGAGGUCGUGGCAUUUAAACAAACUGACAACAGGGAGGGGGGGAUUUAUUACACAUUUUCUCUCUAGUUGUGGGCAUGAUCCUGCUUUAGUCCCGCAAGCCCAGAAACAGAAAUGUCUAUUUUUGAGUUGCUAUAUAUAGAGAGAAGAAACAGUCCCUCUGAAUGUGGAGUUACUCAGUAUUUUUGGCUCUUUGGCUAUUUUCAAGGUUCUUCAUCUGGACUUAAAAACCAAAUUAAUAGGCUAUCGUUUCCUCUCAUCUUUUACACAGACACUAUUUUGGGAGCAGAUACAUCACCCCAGCCACAUCAGUGAACAGACUGUUUUCACUCUUGUAACACGAAUGGUCACCCAAAGCAUCUUCUCUCUCAUGCUCCAGUAAUUCGCUACUGACCUGCAUUGACUUAAUUUACUUUUAUUAAUUUAAGCUAAGUGAAUUUUAUUUUCUAUGAGUGUCUGUGUGAAACUAAGCACAGAAAACCUGUUUGUGCUUAACUCAUUUUGUUUGCAUCUUCCAAGCCCAAGUUGCUCUCUGGUUUUGGUUUUUGCUUAGUUGUAAGUUGUGCUUGAUCAGUGUCCUCAGCACCAAAUUUGACAACUAGAAGUGCUUCAUAACUCACUGAUGCCGUUUCAGCCCCAUUAAUUAGGAUUGCCAGGAAUUGUCCUUCUUUUGGAGCCACAGACCAGCCGUUUCUGUAGAUGGUAUGUGAAUGAGACUCUUCAGACAGGGCAGGGAAGCUCCCAGCCUCCUGAUCUGGACUCUUGAGUCAGGAAACUGUGACUGGGCCCAGUUCCUCUGCUGUUAACUCUGGGGGAGUGCCUGGGUUAAGAGAGCUUCUGUUUGUACUGAUGUCUCAUCAAAAACCAUGCCACUUAUGAAUUCCCAUCAAUGUCUUUGAUAAACCCAAGUUGGAAGGAAAUAAAAAAAGACUCACAAUCUACUAACUGCUAGUUAUCUAAUAGCUAGAAUUUAAUAAAUGCCACACACUGUGCUGAAUGCUUCACAGGCAUUAUCUUAGUUUGAUCCUUAGACAAACCUGUUUGAGAUAUAUGUUUGUUCCCCUUUUAAAGAUGAGGAGUGUGAGACUCAUAAAGGGUGACUUUUACCUGUUCAAGCUGCUCAGCUAAUAAGUGGUGAAAUUUGGGAUUCAUACCCAGGCAAUAUGGUUUCCAUGCCUUUCUCCACAGGCUACUGCUUCUCAGCUUCAGGAAUAUGGCCAGAAUGCCAUGUGAAGUUCUGUAAGUUAGUUCUUUAGACUAUCCAGGUUUCAUAGUAGCCUGGGAUCCUUAGGAGUGAAUUGCUUUCACUGUUUUUAAUUAACCUUAGGACUCACCCAGUGUAUCAAAUUUCUUACAGUCCCUUCUCCUGCUCUCACUUCUUAAAAUCCUCUGAGUUGAGGUUGGUGUUAUUUGGUCACAUAUGAGGAGGUCAAAAUCAAGAAGUAGAUGUUUAGGCAUUCAGUAGAGAUUUACUGAGCACUAUACAAGAGAUUUAGCUUAGGUGUAAGCAACUCAAUGACGACGAAGGCAUGGAUUGUACCAUCAAGGACCCCAGGCAUCAUGUUACACUCCCCACUGUAUCUGCAGUUCUUAGCACUGUACAUGGCUCUGGGUUGGUCAUUUGUAAAUAUUUACUAAGUUUCGCAACUGAUGAUGUGGCCAGUGGAUGACUAUUGGUGAAGGGCAUUUUUUCUUUCUUUCUUUUUUUAAUUUUUAAUUUUUUUUUUUUUUUUUUGCUGAUUGUGACUUCAAAUUCUGCACUCUUAGAACAUUCUGAGCUUUUGUAGGUUUGAGAGGUAUCCUGGAAACUGACCCCAGAUGAAAAUUAAUCCUGCCCAUUUUUAUAGGAAAGCUGUGUUAUAAAAACCCAUGUGUUCAAGGGCAACUAGGUCCUACCCGAGCCCGCCAAUGCCUCUUGCAGUCUGUAGGCUGUGUUCUCAUUGAGGUCAGCCACGUACUAGGAAGGAGGAUGAGACUACAGGACGGUCAGGGCAUAUAGCACAUCCUUCAGUCUCCGAUGAAAGAUGCAAAUGAAAACCGCCGUCAUGAAGGCAUUUCUGGGGCACAAAAUGGACAAAGCCCCUACCUGUCCAGAGAGUAUAAUCUCCACCCAUGCUGACAAAUAUGGCUGCCAUGAGCCUCAGAUCAAUAUUACUGAAAGGCCUUCCUGUCCCAGGCUUAUCGGAUAGACGGGCAACUCAUAUUGCCAUAAAUAUAUGAUGACUUUUUCAUCGCGUGUUAACGGUCUUCAGCAUUUCAGAAAGCACAAAUAUGUAGGUGGAUGGUACCUGUGUUUGCUAAUAGCUGUAUUUGUUUUAAUUUUAUGAUUGCCUUUGUUCCAUCUUUAGUUCUAAAAAGGCUUAUGAUAAGGGCACCGAUACAGUAAACCAUGAGAUUAUUAAAACAAAAUAAAUCAUGUGAGGCUAACAAUGGAAGUGGGGGAGAAUAAUGGUAAGAAAGAAGAUGAUGGAGGGUAAAAAGUUAUACGAAGAAAUCAUAAGAUUUCAUUUACUCAAAUUUAUUAAGAAUCUUAAGGCUUUGGGAUUUUGAUUGAUGCCAAGGAGUAGGGAGGAAGAUAUAAAUAUGAUUAAGACCAGGUUCUUACAAGUAGAGGAAAUGGCUUAGAGGUAAAGGCUUGGAGGUAAAGGGAAUUAUGUAUUCUUGGAACAGAAAGUGGAUCAUUGUGUGUGUAUGUGUGUGUGUGUGCACACCUAUUUGAGUUUAUUGAUGAUGAUGGGGGAAAGCCACAGUCAAUGAACCUAGAGAUAAGUAAGGACCAGAUAACUUAGGGCUCUGUUAAGGCAAGUUAAGGAGUUUAGCUUUUACUCUAAGGACAAUUGGGAACCAUUGAAGUGGAUCAAAUUUUCCAUUUAGAAAGAUAACUCUCCCUGCAGUGUGGAGAAUGGAUUGCAGUGGAAGGAGACAGGAGAGGAACAUCAGUUAGGGGCUGUUGCAGGUGAGAAAUGAAGGAAGCUUUGGGUGAGAAUAAUGGCCAUGGGAGUGAAGAGAACAGGGUGGAUCUAUGAGAUAUGAGGCGGGACAGCCAAUGUACCUUGUGGAUUAAUUGUGGCUCUCACCUUUCAUUUUGGAAGGUUCUACGUGGGUGCAGGUAGCAUUUAAUGAGACAGCAGAAGUAGGAGUAGGAGCAAAUAUUGUGUCUAAGGGAGAAGAAGGCAAAUUAAGCUGUAGGUAUGAUAUUUAAGAUGUUAGGAAGGCACUUGGGUAAAGUCAGAUGUUUGGUAGGCAGUUGACUGUAUGAACCUGACACUCAAAUGAGUGGGAUUAGUGCCAUAUUUGGAAGAUUUGGAGUAUAUAUGGUUUUUAAGUCACUAGAAUAGAAGGAGUUAUCAAGGUAGAGUUUGGAGUGAGAAGUGAGGAGGACCCAAGAUCUCUUUGGAUCCCAACAUUGACAUCAAGAGGUUUCCCAGAGGAGAAAGAAGUCCAAGCACUCAUUAAAAAGUAGGAGUAUCAAGGAGAAUACGACACAGCCUGUCUUAUGAUACUGUAGGGUACCUUGGUGCCGUAAACCAUGGCACUGAGUGAUUAACUCAAGGGGAACUCGUACUGAAAAAAAGAUGAGAACCCAGGACUCAUCUCUGGGGUCUUGCAUUAUUUUCAGGUGACCUUCAAUUUCUGAAAGUCCCCAUGCCAUUGUUUUGGUUUGAAAUGGAGAGAAUCGUGUCUUCAGUGAUACACUGUGAAUUACUGACUGCUUUUCCAGACAUCUCAACUGUAACUUUAAUCAUCUGAGUGCUCGUUCUUAUCACAGUUCCAGCAGUGCCCCAGGACUCAUUAAAUUGCUGGGGGUAUUUGAAGGCAUCCCAAUUAAGGACCCAUUUUAUGUGCAUAGUCGAAAUCCUGGAAAUUAUUGUCUCAUUUGAGACACAGGAGUAGGUGCUGAUAUCUGCUAGGAUGAAUGAUAAUGUGGACCCCAGUGAUUUGCUGUCCUUCAUCGUUUGAUCUGCUUUAAUGACCAGAGUGUAAGUCGCCAAUUGUUGUGUGCAGAUAGGUGUUACAAAUGGAGUUGUAAAUUCAGUUCCUUAAAAAAAAGAGUGGGUAUGAUAUUCUCCCCUGCAGUGCAGUUUAUAGAUGACCCUGGGGCAAAGUGAGAUGAAGCCCAGAAUGCCCUCUGAGGGAUGGAGUGCAUGGCUGUGCACAUGAGCACACACACACACAGGCUUAGGUUCUCAAAAUUGAUAUAAUUUC
Leopardus geoffroyi (Geoffroy's cat) is the source of this 4539-nucleotide long non-coding RNA. RefSeq lists it as uncharacterized. NCBI's taxonomy places the organism in Eukaryota, Metazoa, Chordata, Mammalia, Carnivora, Felidae. The record is from RefSeq and is a predicted model, not a curated record. The transcript is spliced from 3 exons.